RNAcentral lists this ribosomal RNA (586 nucleotides) under uncultured bacterium. Its description in RNAcentral is "bacterial SSU rRNA". It matches the Rfam family "Bacterial small subunit ribosomal RNA", at positions 338 to 916 of the family's 1533-position model. The record is from RNAcentral.
CCUACGGGAGGCAGCAGUGGGGAAUUUUGGACAAUGGGCGCAAGCCUGAUCCAGCAAUGCCGCGUGAGUGAAGAAGGCCUUCGGGUUGUAAAGCUCUUUUGUCAGGGAAGAAACGGUGGUUCCUAAUAUGGACUACUAAUGACGGUACCUGAAGAAUAAGCACCGGCUAACUACGUGCCAGCAGCCGCGGUAAUACGUAGGGUGCAAGCGUUAAUCGGAAUUACUGGGCGUAAAGCGUGCGCAGGCGGUUAUAUAAGUCAGAUGUGAAAUCCCCGGGCUCAACCUGGGAACUGCAUUUGAGACUGUAUGGCUAGAGUGUGUCAGAGGGGGGUAGAAUUCCACGUGUAGCAGUGAAAUGCGUAGAUAUGUGGAGGAAUACCGAUGGCGAAGGCAGCCCCCUGGGAUAACACUGACGCUCAUGCACGAAAGCGUGGGGAGCAAACAGGAUUAGAUACCCUGGUAGUCCACGCCCUAAACGAUGUCUACUAGUUGUCGGGACUUAAUUGUCUUGGUAACGCAGCUAACGCGUGAAGUAGACCGCCUGGGGAGUACGGUCGCAAGAUUAAAACUUAAAAGGAAUUGACGG